GGGGGAGAGAAAAAAUAGGGAUACAAAAAGAAAGGAGGCCAACAACGCAACACACGCAGGCUCAAUUGAGAACCUUGUUGCCUAUGUGCUUUCACGGGCUAUGUAUCCCGGAAGAGAAAUAAUAUAUACCCUACGGUGGAACUGGUCGCACGCUGUUGGCCGGGAAUAACGAUGUAGAGGAAAAUCCACAAAAUAGCUGAUUGGUCAGUACGUGUUUUUCCGCUGCGACGCGCAACAGGUGUUCUCUCGUACACACUCGGCUCUCUCUAUACACGGUGUAGUUCUUGUUGAAAUACAGCAGCAGCCCAAACCGAUUCAAAGUCAAAAGGUGUUGCAGGUGAGCGCACCUGAUGCAAACUAAUCUCGUCGUGUGUCUGAAUUUUUAUCCCGUCAUUUGUAUGUUUGAAUGUCGUCGUUUUCUAAUUCCGCUUAUUCGUUGGAAUGGAUCAAUGCUGACGAAAUUCCAACCUGUCAGCUAGCCACAUUUAUGCAUUCACGCAAGAGCUUCUCGUGAGCAUGUCAUGCAUCACUUGCGCGCGCCAGCUGCGUUUUCAGAAGAAAUGCGAGUGUCUUACGUAAACGCAACUGUUUGCCAAACAGCCACUUAACAGCCGUUCAACUAAAUUUGCUCGUCUGAACUGUACCAUUAUCGCCUUCUUCUAACCCCCAUGAAGUAAAUUCUCCUGUAAAAAAAAAAAACAGAACAAACGACACAAAUUAAUAAAGGAAGGUGAAGUUUUACGACAUGUCUUUAUUAUCAUUAAUUGUCCAUCAGCGGCAUCAUCACAUGUGAAAUGUACCGGAAGAGUAAACCGAAAAAAAAAAGGAGGGGAAGAAAAACAAGCGGAUGAAACCGCAAAUUUUUCUGAGGGAAAUAUAGGGGGAAGCAAAAAGAAAUAAAAAAGAAAACGACAGCUAAGGGAGGGGGGGAAAAAAAGGGGUGAUAAUUUUUCGGUUUGUAGAACAAGCAGUUGGAGUAAAGAAAAUUUACAUUGGUUAAGUCAUUUGUUUGUUUUCUCUCUUAUUCCUUACAUUGCCCCUGUUCUUUCUUCUUCUUCUUCUUUUUUUUUUUAAGUUUUUUAAAUGGCGUUUUUGUUUUCGGGAGAGAGUUAUGUGGCGUAACGCCUGAUGUUUCAUCCUCGAAUCUACGUUGACUGACUAGGAGAGCUAAAUCAUUUCAAGCAUGCAAUGGGGUUU
Long non-coding RNA from Daphnia magna, 1197 nucleotides. RefSeq lists it as uncharacterized. The record is from RefSeq and is a predicted model, not a curated record. Lineage: Eukaryota; Metazoa; Arthropoda; Branchiopoda; Diplostraca; Daphniidae. The transcript has 2 exons.